This 16-nucleotide ribosomal RNA is filed under the name Epichloe festucae var. lolii. RNAcentral's name for it is "partial small subunit ribosomal RNA". The record is from RNAcentral. Lineage: Eukaryota; Fungi; Ascomycota; Sordariomycetes; Hypocreales; Clavicipitaceae.
AUAGUUACCUGGUUGA